UACAGAGACCUCAAGCGUUAUCCGGAAUCAUUGGGCGUAAAGCGUACCGAUAGGUGGUUUUGGUAGUUUUGGGUAAAAGCCGGAAGCUCAACUUCCGCGUUUGCUCAAAAUACUCCAAGACUAGAGGGACAAAGAGGUGGCUGGAACGAAUGGUGUAGUAGUGAAAUGCGUUGAUAUCAUUCGGAACACCGAAAGCGAAGGCAGGCCACUGGGUGUCACCUGACACUGCUAGGACGAAAGCGUGGGGAGCGAAUGGG
Molecule: ribosomal RNA, 257 nt
Filed under: uncultured bacterium
Lineage: Bacteria
Description: partial 16S ribosomal RNA
Rfam family: Bacterial small subunit ribosomal RNA
Source: RNAcentral